This 497-nucleotide ribosomal RNA is filed under the name uncultured bacterium. RNAcentral describes it as "partial 16S ribosomal RNA". It matches the Rfam family "Bacterial small subunit ribosomal RNA", at positions 28 to 507 of the family's 1533-position model. The record is from RNAcentral.
GAUGAACGCUGGCGGCGUGCCUAAUACAUGCAAGUCGAGCGAACAGACGAGGAGCUUGCUCCUCUGACGUUAGCGGCGGACGGGCGAGUAACACGUGGAUAACCUACCUAUAAGACUGGGAUAACUUCGGGAAACCGGAGCUAAUACCGGAUAAUAUAUUGAACCGCAUUGUUCAAUAGUGAAAGACGGUUUUGCUGUCACUUAUAGAUGGAUCCGCGCCGCAUUAGCUAGUUGGUAAGGUAACGGCUUACCAAGGCAACGAUGGGUAGCCGACCUGAAAGGGUGAUCGGACACCCUGGAAGUGAGACACGGUCCAGACUCCUACGGGAGGCAGCAGUAGGGAAUCCUCCGCAAUGGGCGAAAGCCUGACGGAGCAACGCCGCGUGAGUGAUGAAGGUCUUCGGAUCGUAAAACUCUGUUAUUAGGGAAGAACAAAUGUGUAAGUACCUAUGAACGUCUUGACGGUACCUAAUCAGAAAGCCACGGCUAACUACGUG